CUGCCGGAGAAGCCCGAGUGUGGUUGCUGAGCUGUCACCCUCCUGUGUCAUGUCUUGUGUAUCUACCCGAGGAAUUGGGGCGACUGGGGUGGGGUGUCGACUACAAGGAGCUCUGAAGUCUGCAGGGCGAGGGUAGGAGUCAGGAGGUAAAUAUUCUUGGAACCAGAUGAUAAAUUUAAGGCUACUUCCAACCCAAACCAUUCCGUGAUUCUUGCUUCACUCUUGCCCUGGGUCCAGUCUUUACACUUUGGACUGUCAGAGCACAAUGACCUCUUCAAAAAUUACCUUCCAUCCUCCCAUCUCCUUAGGCUUAGAGUAGUUAUUGUUCCAAGAAUUUGAUACACCCUGUCUAGUUGUUCUUGACACCAGAAGAAUUAAUGCUUCCGUCACACCCAUCCCUUUGUUAAAGUACAUGGUGGGGAAACUCAAAAUGAAAACUCAAACCGACAAGACAGUGACCACAGAAGGUCCCAGGUUGGAUUGCCAGAUCCGAUAGUGAAAUCAGAUGAAACAUCAACUGCUGUUUCUCCUGACCUUUGCCAGCUGGCAUUGGGAAAGGUCCAUGUUUCUGGCAAGUUACAUCCCAAGGGGGCUAUUGGUUGAGCUUUACUGCUUGUAUAAUGCUGAAAUCAGUGUAUUCAUGCCAAAUGAGGCCUUGAUUUGUGUCAGAUGCUGUCCAAAGGCAGGUGAGGGCGUGUUUCCUGUGUUAGCUUUAAAAUUGGAGCUUUUUCCUGCUGAUCCAACCCCUCAUUGCUCUCUUGGAAACUGUAAAUAUUUGGUAAUUUAUUGGCACAACCUUCCAGGCCUUGAAUGCUUACGCAGCCUUCUCCUGCCACAGCGACCGAGCCAAGGGGGCAUGCACAAACAAGGGAAGUCUGGGUGCCCUGGGACACUUGUUUGGACCCUGCUUUGUUCUCCUGAGCUAUGUAUUAAAAGAAGUAAAGUCCUAGUAAGUCCUUAGUGACCCUUAGUAACUACCAACUGUUAAACUGGUGAGAAUCAGCUCAUUAUGGUCAGGAGGAAUCUGGUUUGCCUUUGCAGGUUGCUCAGGCUUCAUAUGAGCCAGAAGGAAAACAAAAUCUGAGGCUCAGAGUAGUUGAAAGAAAGCAGGAUUAAAAUAGCCUGGGAGGGAAGGAGGGGGUGAGGGAGUUUGGUGCCGGCAACUGCAAGUGCUCCUUGUUUCUGUGUUCUUUCCUCUGCCCUUUUGCUCUCUCAGCUGACUGGUCUGCAGAGCUCAGCCAGGAGGAGGGGAAGGAGGAGGAGGAGGAGGCCUGGCAGCCCACACAGUUGCUUUGGGUUAGGGCUGGAAUUGCUCAGUUGGAGAAAGUAAAUACAGCUUGUUUUUGUCUUCAAAUCAUUACACAACAGGGGCAGGAAGCGAUUGUUUACGAUGCAGUUGGAGAGGGCUGAUGGAAAACAUCAGCAGUGAUGCUGUAUCCUCAGAAGGGCUUGAUUUUUAGGGCUUUAAAACUCUACUGAAGUGGAGUAGUUCUAAAAACAACCAGACAAAAGGCAGAGUCAGGAAUGUAGCUGUUUACAAAAGGCGCCCAGGCUCCAGGUUCACAGCAAGUGGCUUGCUUAGGUCUUGGUCUGCCACCCCAUGCUGAAGAUUCUACUUUCCUCAGUGCAUGUUUCCCCCCUUUUUGUAUUUUUGAGGUUUCUUUUUCCAUUAUUUUCUUCUGCUUGUUCAUCUGCUUUGCCUUGGGUAUAUUCUGAAUAAAAUUCAUCAUUGUCGCGGAUGUGAAAAAGGGACUGGCUGGGAAACGCCAGGGCUUUGAGCCAAGGCGUGUUGAGGGCACCGAGUGCUGACUUCUCCCGUGAUUUGGAGUGCUGUUAGUGGUGACAGGGUGAUGCUCUGUGACUUGGUCCUGUCUUUGGCACGUCUGCAGCAGAGCAUCUUUGGUCUGGGUGCCUGGGGGUAAAAUCCGAUAGUAACUCUCUGCAUUCAUGUGCUGAGCCUGGCUGUAGUCACCGAGGUGGUUAUCUUCUGUGUAGUCAGAUCCUUUGUAGGAGCCCAAAACAAUUCCCAGAACAAAGCUGUGGUUUGUGUCAGAGGAACAGGGUGUCCUGGCUGCAGCGAGCAUGCGGCAGCCUGACAACACCAUUGUGCUUCCUGUAAAGACAUGAGUCCUCGGGAGCGUUGGGCAGUGCUCGCGCCUCCCACUGCUCUUGAAGGGGUUGUUUUGAAUUGGCUGCUCCCUGUUGCAAGGCUGACAAGAGGCUUCAAGCUUUGUUUUCAACACAGUGCACAACCAGUGUGGUGGCAGCCAUGGACCUUAAACCUAAACCAGUUGGCUCACUUAGCGUCAGCUGGCCUCGUGCCCCAGCAUCCUGCUGAAAUGGAGGCACUUGCAGUGAGACACAUACGCUGUGUCCUGUUGGUCAGCUGGAGCCCCUGGCUAGGUGACAAACUUAGAGGUUUAACCUUAGCCUCUCUGGGCUGAGUAUUCCCACCCAGGCUCAGCCCUCUGGGAGAUCUGCCUUUAGUUCUGGGAAGCCACCUUUCUGCAGAGGAAAGGCAGCAAUAGAUGGCAGUGUGUGGAGCUGAAUUCCCUCUCCUCUUGGCUCAGGAAAAGAGUGUUGCCUUCUCUGGGGACUCACCUUGGUGUAACCCAUGUUUAUAUCAGUUGGAAGACCAGCACUGGAUGAGUUGUCUUGUCUCACACACCAUCCUGUGCUUGUCGUAACAGUUUUGCUUGGUGGUUUGGAAAAGUGUCCUGAUGUGAGGUUGGUUAAUCAGUUUGUCAUCAGGUUCUGUGCUUGCAGUAGUCAUGCUCUAGCAGUUGUGCUUUAAGACCUGGGCUUCCUUGAAGUGAGGCUGCUCCUGCGAGUUGAUGCUUAGCUGCCUGUCUUGUAUUAAUUACUGAGAACAUUGUGUGACGUGUUUUGAUGUGGGGUUAAUUAUCAGUGUUGAAGAAAAUACUGGUACAAGAAGAACUGAACAAACAUCCAGAGCUAAUGCCAGCUAGACAUUCAGACCACAAAUACUGUGUUUUUUUAAUUAUUAUUCUUUUAUAUAACAAACCUGACUGGCAGCCAGGGUAAUAAAACCUGUGUGUCCUUUGCUUGUUACUUAAUUCUUUCUUCACUACAAGAACUUCAGAUAUCCCUUUGAGCCAGGAGGGUGGAGACUGAUGAAUCUGGAGUCUUGCUGCCUGUCAUAAAGUAGCUAUGAGCCACAGACAAGUCAUCUCCAUUGGCUUCUGUGUUCCUUCCUUGGCCAGACCCAGAGUCCCUCGGGAGGUGUCACCCUGUUUGGGUGACGUUCUGUGGUUGACCUGCAGUGCAUAAAGAUUCUUGACUCUGUGGUCUUGCAGUUGUUUGUUGCCUUUUGUCUUCAGAAGGCAGUUCAGAAAUAGGCUGUGGAAUAAAAUGAAGGAAUAAGUUCAACACUCUUGUGUCUGGCACAUCUCCCCAAAUAGACCUGGCAAAUGUGUGCAUGUCCAGGCCUGUUUGUGCAGAAAUAGCAAUGUCCUGGGCUGUGCGAACUGUCUUUGUGCAUGCACAUGUGUUCUGCGUUAAAACACAGUUCUGUCAGGAGUGCCACUUCUUUGAGCAGUCUGAAGUGUUGUGAGAAGUUCUGAGAAAUUUGAGUGCAUCUCUCCCGUCUUGGAGGCUUGUAAUUGCAAAGGUUGUCCAGACGGAAGAAAAGGUCAACCAAAGCUAGAGGGAAGCCCUCACAGAGGAGAGUCUCCUGAGGCUCAUGCAGAGGGAACUUGCUGUUAUUUUUCCAAGGCUAGUGAACUGUGAUUAAGCACUGAGCAAAAAAAAACCCGUUCCUUAUCUGGAACUCUGAUGAAAGUACUCAGUGUGCCACCCAAACAUGGCACAGAAGGUAUUGCCCAUUUGCCUCCCAUGCUCAGGAGGUGUAGUGAGUCGGAAGCCCUGUUUAAAGCUGUUUGAAUGCUGGAGGUCCACUGCUCAUCCUGCGUGGCACCUGGCAGGGGUGACGUGGUACUGUGCAUCCAGAGAACAAGUGUCUUGACAUGAAUUUAGACUUUAUGGUUGUUGUGUGGCUCUGCUUGGUCACGAGCUGAGCCCUUUUCAUGGAUUUGCCAGAUACAAAUACUCAUUCCUGGAGUCAGGCUCAAUCAUAUUCAGAUAUAGUUUGAAACUGGGAAAAAAAAAAAGGUGGUUCCUAUUUGUGUUUUAAAAUCCAUUGUCAAGCUGUACUCUGCAGCCAGGAAGAUUGGGAUACACAAAGGAACAAGACUGCUGAGAUCCUUCUCCACUCACAGGGCUCUAGGAGCUGGGCAUUCAGAAAUCCUGCCAGACAUUAAACAUUUUAUAAUGAAGUUGUAACAAUGAAAUGGAUAGUCCUGCAGACCUCAUCACUUGCUCCACGUUCAUGUUGGUAAUACCUUCCUGUGACAGUAGAGCACCAGGCUCUACCUACACCACGUUGCAGAGACAUGCUUUGUAUCAGACAUGAAGUUCAAACCAGUGCAGUUUUGGUCCCAGGUCAUUCAUUGUGUCCAGAGCAGACAGAAGAAGUAAAAUACAACCAACGAUCAGAAUCACUCUCAGGUUUCUGCAUUGCUGCUGUCCUGUGUACCCUGACAACACCCUUUUCUUAGCAGCAAGGACAGCUUUCCCAGGACACAGCUGGCCUCCCGAGCUGUGUCCUCCUUUCCUGGAUGUGGAGUCUCCUCUUGCUCCUCCUGCAGUGCCACAGGCCUGUGAACCAGCCCUCCAGCACUGGGCAAGGACAGUUGCCAGCUCAUCCCAGACAUACCUGAUUUCAAGCCAUCCAGUCCAUGCUCAACUGGUAGCAGGUCGAUGACGUUUCCAGGUGGUGUUUUUUCUUCAUGGUGUUUUCUUAACAGCAUUCCUGUUGGUCACAGACAACAGGGCUGGUUGUAGAGUCCAUCCACUGCCCCAGGGCAGUACUAGUGUUUGUCCAGUGUCUCCUGAAAAAUGCUGUCCAUCACACAACUGCAUUGCUGGAGAACUUGCCAUGUGUUUUCCUUCUGUUCCACCCUCUGUACUUUUUUGUCUGAUUAAACUCUUUUGCACCCAAGGCUGUCCUUGUGUCCUGUCUCUGCACGGCACCCAGCACAGCUCUCUCCCAUAGCAUGUGUUCCUGGGCACUGCUGAUAAAAAAAGGUUCAUGUUUCGAAAGUCUGGCUUAAAAUUUUCUACUGUUCUUAACUGCCAUAACCAGCUCAUCCCUUAUUGCCAUGGGAUACAUGGUGUGCCCACGUCUUUGGGAGAACAGCUUGGGAAGGACCUCAGUUAAGAAAAACAGCUGAGAUUCUGGUGUUUUGGGCAAUUUGCAAGCUUUGCUGUGGGUACUUAACAGUUGAAACAGCAGUUGGAGAAGAAACAGGCAAUUUCUGUGGCAUAUGCAAUGCUACAAAAAUACUCCUGUCUUUCAAUAGGCCCCAGCAGUGAUUUUUUGCUAGGAAUAACUAAUGGAAAGGGUGUGUUUUUUAUCUUGCUGCCAUCUUGAGCUCUCGCAUCCUGGCAGUGGGGAGAAGCCUGGCCUAACCUCACAGCAGAAGUGGAUCAGGCACAGGGCUGUUCCCUCUGUUUGCAGGUCAGGGAUCUUGCCUCAGCUACUUUGUCCCAUCCUGCUUGGAGGCCCUGAGCUGCUGAAAUCAGGUGUUUAGCAAGGAGGGGCCAGAGAAAAAAGUGCAAAUAGGGACUGGGUUGUAUAAACAGUUCUGGUUCCUUUUACAUAUAGGCUUACGAUUAACUGUGGCCAGGUGCUGCAGGAAAGGGGAAAGUCUUAACCUCAAAUAGCACAGCUAUAAUUUAGAAGCUGCAGGAGAAGAACAAGGCUUGUAAAGUCAGAGCUGUCAUGUAUGAAAUGCAAGUGUGCAGACACUGCUAAUUACAGGGUGGAGGAAGCGACCUGCUUGAAAUGCUGUACGUGGCAUGAGCCUGGGUGCCAGGCUGGCAUCUCCACCAUGUCUCUCUGAAGACCCCUUUAAUGGUUUUCUCUUUAUUCCUAUGACUUAGAUUAGACUACAGAUACAUGAAAUUAAAGGUGGUAUUUAUAGCCAUUCUUUGCUGUGUGAUGUUGAAGAUGCUGACAUGAGACAAAGGAUCAACCUCUAGCUCCCACUCUCAGCUGAGGAGGUUGUGGGUGACCAUCACCUACUUCUUGCAGGAGAUCUAUAGCACCUGAACUGUGGUGUGCACAGAAAUAACCCUUGUGCAGUGUUUGAGGCAGGACAGAUUGAUUCCCAAGCCUGUUUGGUUGGACCUCCAAGGCUAGGAUGGGACUGAAUGUGCUCUUUAGCAGAGCUUCCGAUGGCCUGGAAACUUCUGCCUGGAUCUUGGGGCACCUGAACAGCUUAGGUGGGGUUGAUCCCAACUGCCUUCAUGAAUGAAGUUUCUGAAAUAGGCAUCUCCUGGGCAGAGGAAGAAGAGCUUAGGUGCUUGUAGCUGCAGUCACACGUACCUGCUGAAGGGAUCCAGAAGCCCUUUGAGUAAAGCAGCACCAGCUGUCGUUGCCUGGUGGUAACCUGGAGAUCAGCUCCCGCACACAGGGAGGGCAAAAGCUCUGCACACCUCUGACCUGAGGGACCAGGUCCUGGGCACAUGGCAGGUCUUAGAGUGGGUCAGGGGGCCAUAUGUCACACUUGAGGCUGGUUGAGAGCUUUGUCACUGGUGGCUCCUGCCCUUGAUUCCUGCUGAGCAUGAAGUCAGCAAGACCUGGAAGAAACCCCUGAGCUGGAUUUGGUGAUGCUUCCAGGGAGCAAGAGGGGCUAUUGGGCUGCCUUUUGGUGCAUGCAGCCUAGACCACUUGGAUGCGCUGAGGUUAUCUGUGUCACUAGCCAUCGUAACAUGCAAAGGCUGACAAUUUACCUUCAGCAAAUUAGUUCUCAGGCCCUUCUCAUAAUUACCCAUAAAAAGUUCUGUGACCCUACAGGGAAAUGCAUGAUGUCUGGGGGGUUCAUCCACAUGGCCACCUUACCAGAUGGUCAUGGAGAGAGAUGUGGGAUAGGGUGGAUACUGAAGCUGGAAAAACUAGCCAGCCAUGAGGACACAGUUUUCUGCAGGCUCUUUUAAUACCCAGCAGGUCUGAGCCUAAAGUGCUUAUGCUGGUAAGUGUUGUCCACUCGUGCUCUGGAUCUGCAGCCUUUCAGAUACUGUCCUGUGCGUUGGGUGCUUGUGUGAUGGGUGCUUUCUGUCACUGUGUCCUUCAGCCAUUGCUGUACCAGUGUCACAUGCAAUGCUGAUUGCUGCCUAACUCCUUGCUGGUUUGAGACCUCAGGGGAAAAUGGCCUGUACCACAAGGAUAACUCUAGGUGCCCUGGAGCAUUGGAUAUGGUGAAAAGGAAACACAAGGAACUACAUUUGCAGUCACAAAAUCCCAAACAAAUAUGCCUGAAUUUUGCAUCAAAUCUAAAUAAUCUUGCUUUGUCUUGCUAGCCCAUGGAGUCCUAUAGUAGAAAAGUUUAGCAAUUCCUAGCAGAGGGAUAAUUUCGCUUUAUUAUCUUAAAAAGAUAAUUAAGUGCUUAAAAGCCUCUGUGAUCUGGUGAUUUUAUAGUUGCGUGUCCCAAAAGAAACUCCAGUCUCUUCCCAAAGUAGCAUCUAGCCAAUUUCAAUUUAUAAGAAAUAAGGUUUUAUUGAGUGGUUAGAGGAGAAAUGCUUAAUGUUUGUGGGGAGAAAACACACUCAAACACAUGCACUUAUCCUGCCCUGUCCUGGUGGGUUGUGAGGAACUGGGGCUGUGUGAGGCAGCUCAGGGGGGUCGGGCUCGAAGCAGAUGCUGCGCCAGUGACUCUGUGUGUGGCAGGAGGAUCCAUCACAGGUCCUGCAAGACCCAGAUCUUGCAUUUCUAGGUGGUCCUUAGUUGUUGGCCUUCACCCCCUGGCUUUACCUGCUGUGAUCCAUGAAACUGCUUCCCCAGGGCGCUUCAGAUGAGCUGUUGUAGGCUGUGAAGCACUUCCCAGGGUAAUGGUAAUGCAAAGGAGGAGCAUAGGUCUCUAGUGUCCCAGGAAGAGCACACACAGACAUACCUGGUCCUGGCAGGGCUUUGUCCUUUCCUUCCUGCUGCUUUGGAUUGUGGUAGGUGAAGUGGCCCUCUGAUAAAAC
Long non-coding RNA from Strigops habroptila (Kakapo), 8049 nucleotides. RefSeq lists it as uncharacterized. The transcript is spliced from 2 exons. NCBI's taxonomy places the organism in Eukaryota, Metazoa, Chordata, Aves, Psittaciformes, Psittacidae. The record is from RefSeq and is a predicted model, not a curated record.